AGAGUUUGAUCCUGGCUCAGAGCGAACGCUGGCGGCAGGCUUAACACAUGCAAGUCGAGCGGGCGUAGCAAUACGUCAGCGGCAGACGGGUGAGUAACGCGUGGGAACGUACCUUUUGGUUCGGAACAACUGAGGGAAACUUCAGCUAAUACCGGAUAAGCCCUUACGGGGAAAGAUUUAUCGCCGAAAGAUCGGCCCGCGUCUGAUUAGCUAGUUGGUGAGGUAACGGCUCACCAAGGCGACGAUCAGUAGCUGGUCUGAGAGGAUGAUCAGCCACAUUGGGACUGAGACACGGCCCAAACUCCUACGGGAGGCAGCAGUGGGGAAUAUUGGACAAUGGGGGCAACCCUGAUCCAGCCAUGCCGCGUGAGUGAUGAAGGCCCUAGGGUUGUAAAGCUCUUUUGUGCGGGAAGAUAAUGACGGUACCGCAAGAAUAAGCCCCGGCUAACUUCGUGCCAGCAGCCGCGGUAAUACGAAGGGGGCUAGCGUUGCUCGGAAUCACUGGGCGUAAAGGGUGCGUAGGCGGGUCUUUAAGUCAGGGGUGAAAUCCUGGAGCUCAACUCCAGAACUGCCUUUGAUACUGAGGAUCUUGAGUUCGGGAGAGGUGAGUGGAACUGCGAGUGUAGAGGUGAAAUUCGUAGAUAUUCGCAAGAACACCAGUGGCGAAGGCGGCUCACUGGCCCGAUACUGACGCUGAGGCACGAAAGCGUGGGGAGCAAACAGGAUUAGAUACCCUGGUAGUCCACGCCGUAAACGAUGAAUGCCAGCCGUUAGUGGGUUUACUCACUAGUGGCGCAGCUAACGCUUUAAGCAUUCCGCCUGGGGAGUACGGUCGCAAGAUUAAAACUCAAAGGAUUGACGGGGGCCCGCACAAGCGGUGGAGCAUGUGGUUUAAUUCGACGCAACGCGCAGAACCUUACCAGCCCUUGACAUGUCCAGGACCGGUCGCAGAGAUG
RNAcentral lists this ribosomal RNA (956 nucleotides) under uncultured bacterium. Its description in RNAcentral is "bacterial SSU rRNA". It matches the Rfam family "Bacterial small subunit ribosomal RNA", at positions 8 to 1008 of the family's 1533-position model. The record is from RNAcentral.